CCUACGGGAGGCAGCAGUGAGGAAUAUUGGUCAAUGGUCGGGAGACUGAACCAGCCAAGCCGCGUGAGGGAUGAAGGUACAGAGUAUCGUAAACCUCUUUUGUCAGGGAACAAAGGCGGGGACGCGUCCCCGGAUGAGUGUACCUGAAGAAAAAGCAUCGGCUAACUCCGUGCCAGCAGCCGCGGUAAUACGGGGGAUGCGAGCGUUAUCCGGAUUUAUUGGGGUUAAGGGGUGCGCAGGCGGUCUGUUAAGUCAGCGGUCAAAGCCCGGGGCUCAACCCCGGCCCGCCGUUGAAACUGGCAGUCUGGAGUUGGAGAGAGGUAUGCGGAAUGCGCGGUGUAGCGGUGAAAUGCAUAGAUAUCGCGCAGAACUCCGAUUGCGAAGGCAGCAUGCCGGCUCCACACUGACGCUGAGGCACGAAAGCGUGGGUAUCGAACAGGAUUAGAUACCCUUGUAGUC
This 459-nucleotide ribosomal RNA is filed under the name uncultured bacterium. RNAcentral's name for it is "partial 16S ribosomal RNA". It matches the Rfam family "Bacterial small subunit ribosomal RNA", at positions 338 to 795 of the family's 1533-position model. The record is from RNAcentral.